CGAGUGCCGUGCCAGUGCGGAGGAAUGCGCAGCGGCUCCCGGCCCCGCCACCAAAGAAGGGAAUCGCCCAAGGAAAGGGGCAGCGCUGCUGGGGAGAGAAUUUCACUUUAAACAAACCAAACCAAACCACUUAGUCCUUCUAAGCCACUGGCACAUGAACUGUGUGGAAGCAAUGCUGCGUCCGUUUUACGUCGGGAGCCGCAACCAGCGGGCGCGACCUCUCGACGCGCUUGCUCCUGUUCGUGUCUGCUGGCGCCGGCUCCCGUUCCCGCUGCAGAGCGAGAUACUGCAGGAUGCGGCGAGCUCCGUCUGGCUGCGCGACAGGAAAACGGGCAAACCACUCUGCGUCCUGCCCCAUGACAAGGCAAGCCCCAAACCGGGACGAGGCCGGCGGCGCCUGCGGUUGCGGUGCUGUUCAGAGGCGGGCGCUCCGGCCGGGGCUGGGGGUCUUCUCGGCACGGGGAGAAAGCUGCCGCCUGAACGAUGAUUAUUAAUUCCCGAAAUACCUUCUCCUAUUUACACGAUGGAUCCGAGUUUUCACUGUGAAUAAAAAUAAGCAGAACGUUAUAUUUAGCCA
Molecule: long non-coding RNA, 577 nt
Filed under: Apteryx rowi (Okarito brown kiwi)
Lineage: Eukaryota; Metazoa; Chordata; Aves; Apterygiformes; Apterygidae
Description: lncRNA (ENSARWG00000002425.1)
Source: RNAcentral